This 2903-nucleotide ribosomal RNA is filed under the name Clostridium perfringens. Its description in RNAcentral is "bacterial LSU rRNA". It matches the Rfam family "Bacterial large subunit ribosomal RNA". The record is from RNAcentral. Lineage: Bacteria; Bacillati; Bacillota; Clostridia; Eubacteriales; Clostridiaceae.
UCAAGCUACAAAGGGCGCAUGGUGAAUGCCUUGGCAUCAGGAGCCGAUGAAGGACGUGAUAAGCUGCGAUAAGCUUCGGGUAGGCGCACAUAGCCUGAGAUCCGAAGAUUUCCGAAUGAGGAAACUCACAUGGGAAACCCCAUGUAUCAUUAAGUGAAUACAUAGCUUAAUGAAGGUAACCCAGGGAACUGAAACAUCUAAGUACCUGGAGGAAGAGAAAGAAAAAUCGAUUUUCUUAGUAGCGGCGAGCGAAAGGGAAAGAGCCCAAACCGGAAACUUGUUUCCGGGGUUGUGGACAUAACAUAAAAGUGGAGGCUAUUGUAACUGAAGAGAACUGGAAAGUUCCACCGUAGAAGGUAAUAGUCCUGUAAGUGAAACGAGAAGACCACGAGUUAUGAUCCAGAGUACCACGAGACACGUGAAACCUUGUGGGAAGCAGGGAGGACCACCUCCCAAGGCUAAAUACUACCUGAUGACCGAUAGUGAAGCAGUACCGUGAGGGAAAGGUGAAAAGAACCCCGGGAGGGGAGUGAAAUAGAACCUGAAACCGUGUGCCUACAACCGCUCAGAGCCCCUUAUGAGGGUGAUGAGGUGCUUUUUGUAGAACGAGCCAACGAGUUACGGUAUGUAGCAAGGUUAAGUACUUAAGGUACGGAGCCGAAGGGAAACCGAGUCUGAAUAGGGCGACUAGUUGCAUGCCGUAGACCCGAAACCGGGUGACCUAUCCAUGGCCAGGUUGAAGCGAGGGUAAAACCUCGUGGAGGACCGAACCACGUUGCUGUUGAAAAAGCAUGGGAUGAGCUGUGGAUAGCGGAGAAAUUCCAAUCGAACCCGGAGAUAGCUGGUUCUCUCCGAAAUAGCUUUAGGGCUAGCGUCGAGUAUGAGUAGUGGAGGUAGAGCACUGAAUGGGCUAGGGGGCAUAGCGCUUACCGAACCUUAUCAAACUCCGAAUGCCACAUACUUUGAGCUCGGCAGUCAGACUACGAAUGAUAAGAUCCGUGGUCAAAAGGGAAACAGCCCAGAUCGUCAGCUAAGGUCCCAAAGUGUAAGUUAAGUGGGAAAGGAUGUGAGAUUUCUAAGACAACUAGGAUGUUGGCUUAGAAGCAGCCAUUCAUUAAAAGAGUGCGUAAUAGCUCACUAGUCGAGAGAUCUUGCGCCGAAAAUGUAACGGGGCUAAACUUACCACCGAAGCUACGGGCUUGAACUUAGUUCAAGCGGUAGGAGAGCGUCGUAACCGGGCUGAAGUCGUACCGUAAGGAGCGGUGGACUGGUUACGAGUGAGAAUGUUGGCAUCAGUAGCGAGAUGUGGGUGAGAAUCCCACAGGCCGAAAACCUAAGGUUUCCUCAGGAAGGUUCGUCCGCUGAGGGUUAGUCGGGACCUAAGCCGAGGCCGAAAGGCGUAGGUGAUGGACAACUGGUUGAUAUUCCAGUACCACUACCAUCGUUAUUAUCGAUGGCGUGACGCAGGAGGAUAGUGUGUGCUAGCUAUUGGAUGCUAGUCUAAGCGUUUAGGCAGUGAGAGUAGGCAAAUCCGCUCUCAUAAUGCUGAGGCGUGAUGGGGAAGGUUCUACGGAACCGAAGUACAUGAUUCCACGCUGCCAAGAAAAGCGUCUAGAGAGAGAAGUAGUGCCCGUACCGCAAACCGACACAGGUAGGUGAGGAGAGAAUCCUAAGGCCGGCGGAAGAAUUACAGUUAAGGAACUCGGCAAAUUGACCCCGUAAGUUCGCGAGAAGGGGUGCCUACGAGAGUAGGCCGCAGAGAAUAGGCCCAAGCAACUGUUUAGCAAAAACACAGGUCUCUGCUAAAGCGUAAGCUGAUGUAUAGGGGCUGACGCCUGCCCGGUGCUGGAAGGUUAAGGGGAACACUUAGCGUAAGCGAAGGUGUGAACUUAAGCCCCAGUAAACGGCGGCCGUAACUAUAACGGUCCUAAGGUAGCGAAAUUCCUUGUCAGGUAAGUUCUGACCCGCACGAAUGGCGUAAUGACUUGGGCACUGUCUCAACUGUAAAUCCGGCGAAGUUGUAGUGCGAGUGAAGAUGCUCGCUACCCGCGAUUGGACGGAAAGACCCCGUAGAGCUUUACUGUAGCUUAGCAUUGAGUUUUGGUAUUGUCUGUACAGGAUAGGUGGGAGACUAGGAAACCAGGGCGUCAGCCUUGGUGGAGUCAACCUUGGGAUACCACCCUGACAGUACUGAAAUUCUAACUGGCGGCCAUGAAUCUGGUCACAGGACAUUGUUAGGUGGGCAGUUUGACUGGGGCGGUCGCCUCCUAAAAAGUAACGGAGGCGCCCAAAGGUUCCCUCAGAACGGUCGGAAAUCGUUCGAAGAGUGCAAAGGCAGAAGGGAGCCUGACUGCGACACCCACAAGUGGAGCAGGGACGAAAGUCGGGCUUAGUGAUCCGGUGGUACCUCGUGGGAGGGCCAUCGCUCAACGGAUAAAAGCUACCUCGGGGAUAACAGGCUGAUCUCCCCCAAGAGUCCACAUCGACGGGGAGGUUUGGCACCUCGAUGUCGGCUCGUCGCAUCCUGGGGCUGAAGUAGGUCCCAAGGGUUGGGCUGUUCGCCCAUUAAAGCGGCACGCGAGCUGGGUUCAGAACGUCGUGAGACAGUUCGGUCCCUAUCCGUCGCGGGCGUAGGAAAUUUGAGAGGAGCUGUCCUUAGUACGAGAGGACCGGGAUGGACUGACCUCUGGUGUACCAGUUGUUCCGCCAGGAGCACAGCUGGGUAGCUAAGUCGGGAAUGGAUAAACGCUGAAAGCAUCUAAGCGUGAAGCCAACCUCAAGAUGAGAUUUCCCAUAGCGUAAGCUAGUAAGAUCCCUUGAAGAACACAAGGUUGAUAGGUCGGGGGUGUAAGCAUGGUAACAUGUUCAGCUGACCGAUACUAAUAGAUCGAGGGCUUGACCAA